AUGGAGAAACCCCAAAAUCCAAAAAAAGAGUAGGGA
Molecule: non-coding RNA, 36 nt
Organism: Bacteroidetes bacterium GWF2_33_16
Lineage: Bacteria; Pseudomonadati; Bacteroidota
Source: Rfam